AGUGAACGCUGGCGGCAGGCCUAACACAUGCAAGUCGAGCGGCAGCGCGGGGGCAACCCUGGCGGCGAGCGGCGGACGGGUGAGGAAUACAUCGGAAUCUACCUUCUUGUGGGGGAUAACGUAGGGAAACUUACGCUAAUACCGCAUGAGACCUGAGGGUGAAAGCAGGGGGCCGCAAGGCCUUGCGCGAGAAGAUGAGC
Molecule: ribosomal RNA, 200 nt
Filed under: uncultured bacterium
Lineage: Bacteria
Description: partial 16S ribosomal RNA
Rfam family: Bacterial small subunit ribosomal RNA
Source: RNAcentral